RNAcentral lists this ribosomal RNA (340 nucleotides) under uncultured Pseudomonadota bacterium. RNAcentral describes it as "bacterial SSU rRNA". It matches the Rfam family "Bacterial small subunit ribosomal RNA", at positions 29 to 351 of the family's 1533-position model. The record is from RNAcentral. Lineage: Bacteria; Pseudomonadati; Pseudomonadota.
AAUGAACGCUGGCGGCGUGCCUAACACAUGCAAGUCGAACGAGAAAGUCCCGGCUUGCCGGGAUGAGUAAAGUGGCGCACGGGUGAGUAACGCGUGGGUAAUCUGCCUUUAAGUUUGGGAUAACACUGCGAAAGCGGUGCUAAUACCGGAUAAGCUCACAGUUUGAAAUGUCUGUGGGAAAAGAUGGCCUCUGACAUAAGCUAUCGCUUAAAGAUGAGCCCGCGUACCAUUAGCUUGUUGGUAGGGUAAUGGCCUACCAAGGCGACGAUGGUUAGCUGGUCUGAGAGGACGAUCAGCCACACUGGAACUGAGACACGGUCCAGACUCCUACGGGAGGCAG